This is a long non-coding RNA of Anolis carolinensis (green anole), 4982 nucleotides long. RefSeq lists it as uncharacterized. The transcript has 2 exons. The record is from RefSeq and is a predicted model, not a curated record. NCBI's taxonomy places the organism in Eukaryota, Metazoa, Chordata, Lepidosauria, Squamata, Anolidae.
AGGAACCUUCUAGUCUUGCUGUCCAUCAGUGUUUGUGAAAUACGAUGAUGAGGGGUGAUGUCUAUCUGACUUUCUGGGCUGCUGCUUUCUAUAAGCUCCUGUAUUACACACUGGAAAACAUCCUUGAGAUUUGUGGCCAGCUGCAGUGGGAACGUAAAACAGCUAGAAGCUGCAAGGUCAUUCUCUUGAGAUCUUAUCACCUUGGGAUAUACUCUGUUUCCGAGAUUCUUUGAAUGUGAUUCUGGACCCCAUCACAUGACGUUCAUCUCAUUCCAUCAAGAAACCAUUACAAUACAGCUGCAAAGCAUCGCAAAAAUAGAGUAAUUGCACAAAUUGUGGGAUUUUAAAAAUGUAAUAUGGUUCUGAGGCACUGUUUUAAUGUGUGAUUGUAAAAUCAGUAUGCAUUCCAUCAGCUACAAUCUUGCGAGAAUGGUAGUUUGAGACUUCCAGGCUAUGAGCCAGCCCAAGACCCUUUGGUGAGAUUGAGGCAGGAUAUAAAAAUAAAGUUGUUAUUAUUAUUAUUAUUAUUAUUAUUAUUGUAUGACACAGCAAACAAAAUAGAUAUGCUGAAUUUCGUAUCACAAAAUCACAAGUCGAACACUUCCCAAGUGUCUAGGACUGUGUGAUGUAUUUUCGGAUGAUGCGCACAGAUCCCAGUAGGGUGGCCUUUUGCAGUUGGCAGAUCGUAAUUUUGUCAAUGCCUAUUGUUUCCAAAUGCUGCCUGAGAUCUUUUGGCAUGGCAAAAUAAUAAUAAUAAUAAUAAUAAUAAUAAUUAUUAUUAUUAUUAUUAUUAUUAUUAUUAUUAUUAUUAUUAUUAUGAUGUCAUUGCACAACAUUAGAGGGAAAUAAUUUAAAAGUGAUGUAGGGAGGCAUUCAAAUGGAUUGGGACUAGCCAGCCUUUUGUAAUGUGAUGAAUUGAAGCAUUGUAUUUUGAAAUUGUAAGAAUUGGGUGUGAUGGGGUCAGUAUGCAUCCUGUCUGAAUACUGUAUGUAUCAAGUCCUUAAAAAAUACAGGAUGCAUACUGAUAUAAAUGGAGUGUGAUAAGGUGAUUGAUAUGAAAAGGGAGGAUAGAUAACUCCUGGGAUGUUUUGAUUAAUUGAUUUAUGGGGUGGGGGUGGGGGGAAGUCCAUUUAAAGAGAGGAUGCAUUUCCUAAUUCACAAAUGGCAUGGAACUCUGUGUAAAAAAAAACCCUGUGUUUUGGCUAUUAAAGUAUUAAAAAGUUUUUCAUUCUUUCAUCCUAAAAACAACCUAGUAUUUAAACCAACUCUUUUUUCUUAAAUAAAAUUUAGACUUUUAAGAGCUUUUAUUUUCUGAUCUAGAGUUUGGCUGUACAUGACAUUAUAUCUAUGUAUCUUGAGAAAUCAUUCAACCGAAAGCUGCAUUAAGAAAAUUUUAGAAUAAAGCAGCUUCUUCCAUUUAUUCUCCAAGAUGCACACAAUGUGACUAACAUUUUAACAAGGGAAGGGUUUGGUAAUGAUUCUACACAGUAAUUACUUUAUUAAUUGUACCCUUGUAGUUGUAGACAACCUUUGGUUCUCUAGUUGUUUUGGACUUCAACUCCCAGAAAUCCCAUCUAACUUACCAGCUGUUCAGAAUUGUAGGAGCUGAAGUCCAAAACAUCUGGAGGACCAAAGGUUGGGGACCACUAGUUUAACCAAGGGCCCUUUCACACAGCUAUAUAACCCAGAAUAUCAAGGCAGAAAAUCCCACAAUAUCUGCUUUUUUUGUGUGUGUCAGGAGCAACCGGAGUUGCUUCUGGAGUGAGAGAAUUGGCCGUCUGCAAGGACGUUGCCCAGGGGAAGCCCGGAUGUUUUUGAUGCUUUUACUAUCCUUGUGGGAGGCUUCUCUCAUGUCCCCGCAUGGAGCUGGAGCUGACAGAGGGAGCUCAUCCGUGCUCUCCCUGGGUGGGAUUCGAACCUGGCAGCCUUCAGGUCAGCAACCCAACCUUCAAGUCACAAGGCUUUUAUCUCCUUGGCCACUGGAGGCUCCUACAAUAUCUGCUUUUAACUGGGUUAUUUGAGUCCACACUGCCAUAUAUUCCAGAUAAGGUAGAUAAUGUGGGAUUUUAUUCAGCUGUGUGGAAGGGGCCCAAGUGUUAUCUACUCCAACAGACAUAGGCUCAUAGAAGUAUUUCUCAUUCUUGUCACCUGAUAUGCCAUCAUGUCAUACCUUUGCGGUCAAAGUCACUUUCCUCUCUUCGUCUUUCAAGCAGCCUGACAACGACUUCAUCUAUAGAAGGAAUAAUAAGGGUUAUAAGCUUAAACACACUUUUCUGGAAAUACAUUCUACUUGAAAUCAACUUCUGGAAGAGAACAUGUUUGGAACUGGUCUCUAAGAUAUAUAAGUGUAAGAUGGCCAGACCAUAAAAAUACUAAAAAGUUUUUAUGUCGCGUAAUAUAGAGCUGUUAACAAAUAGUACUGCCUAAAUGUGAGCAGUACUGUGUUUUUAAAAUGUUUUUUAAACAUUUUUGCCCGAUGAAAAAGCUAGUGGAAUAUCAAAAAUCUGCACUAUGUGUUUUGUGAACAAAUGUAUCCUUCUUUUGUGGAUAUUGUAUUUUGUUUCUUUUUGCUCUAAAGCUAAUUCACAAAGCCCUGAAUAUGUUACAUCAGAAAUGAGUGAGAUCUUACCACCGGCAUUAAUCAAUACAGUAGAGUCUCAUUUAUCCAAGAUAAACGGGCCGGCAGAACCUUGGAUAAGCGAAUAUCUUGGAUAAUAAGGAAGGAUUAAGGAAAAGCCUAUUAAACAUCAAAUUAGGUAAUGAUUUUACAAAUUAAGCACCAAAACAUCUUGUUAUACAACAAAUUUGACAGAAAAAGUAGUUCAAUAUGCAGUAAUGUUAUGUUGUAAUUACUGUAUUUACGAAUUUAGCACCAAAAUAUCAUGAUAUAUUGAAAACAUUGACUACAAAAAUGCCUUGGAUAAUCCCGAACCUUGGAUAAGCGAGUCUUGGAUAAGUGAGACUCUAAUGCUAUCAAGCAAAAUGACACAGCUGUCUUGUACAUGAGAACGAAGGAUCAAAGAGCCAAGUGGAGAGGUCUUAGCAGUUCCCAUAAAGGACUUCCUUAAUGGUGGUCAGUCUUCUAUCUGAAACAGUUAGUAUCCAGUAUAGCAAGAGGAUAAAACAUAUAGGAAACUAUGAAGUGUUUCAACUCCUUGAAGCUAUUCUUAUAGGAAUUAUGGGAUUGGAUCACAAGAUAAUGCUAUAUUGAACUUCAGUUAUGGUAAGCAAAAUUUCUCAUUAUUACAACUUACCAGCACUUUUUAAACCUUUCUCCUUCCUAGCCAUGCUCCUUUGAUCUGGAGUCUUUUCUGCUGUAUGAAAACAAUAUUGAUAAAUAUCAUUAUUUAUUUCUAAUAGAAUAAGCUGCUAUACAUUUAAAAAACCAGUUAGUGACAUCUGAAGUACAGAACAAUGUACACUUAAAUUAAUAACUGGUUCUGACAAAAGAAUAACUAGCUCAAUCAAAGCCUUUUGAGGAUACAGCAAGAAUGACUUCAGACAACCUGUGAUCAAAACUUAUCAUUUAAAAAAAAGCUGCAGAGAAAUUAACCAGCGCAGCAUUGGUGAUGGAGUGUGUAUCCACCCAACAUAUGGUGAAAUCUCUUUCUUUGGAAGGUACUUAUUUGCUCCAUAAAACACAAUAUGCAGGCACCAUUACACAGAGUUGUUCUCCACAUUUUCCUUCUAGCUCCCUCAGUGAUCCAGUGGUCUCAUUAGAACAAAAAGCCUAAUUAAACAAGCUUUUAGUCAGAAAAUCCCAAACCCGAAUUUGGUUUAUGUGUUAUCAUUAAUAGGAAAAAAUGUUAAUGCAGUAUUUUUGAAUUUAAAUGUGAAAUUAUUCUUAAUCUAUCGAUUAUAUAUCAUCAUUGAGCUGCUUGUCUCUUUUUUAUAGCUCCACAAACCACCCUGCCAGAUGUAUGGUCUUCUCUCGUGCAUCGCACACAUGGACUGUUUGCCUGGACUAGAAAAUUUCAAUAAGGGCUAAAUCUAAUUCCUGACUAGACUAGAUCCACUGGAAUUAAUGGGACUGAGAAAGACAACACAAAUGUAAAUCCUUCCAAUUCAAUACUUAACUUCACUUAGUCACUUAGACAAUCCGUUCCUCAUCUUUUGCACGGAUCACAGUGUCUUCUCUAUUGGACUCCAUUCAUAUCUAUUUUGAACACGAGUUGACCAGUGUAUCAUUGUACAUGUUCGUCUCUCACAUUAUAGACCAUACAGAAUGAAUCAAACCAUCGGAUAGGAGGACGACCAAGAGGUCUCGUCCAUCCCCACGGGUACCAUGUUGCCGUGGCAUUGCUCCAGCGCCCCUUUGUCUGAGUUGGACAAUGUGGCGUAGAGGAUCUUUCACUUUUGAUAUUUUUCUAACAUCCUCGUUGUGCAGUCUGUGUUCUUGCUGAGUUCAGAGAGACAUCUCAACGAGCAAUCUUUCGAAAGAGGCAUGCACAACACGUAGUUGUUCCAAGAUAGCCUUCGUCAUUGUCCAUGUCUCUGCACCAUAGCAUAGGGCAGGUAGCACGAUUGAGACAAACAAUUGAGGUCAUAAAGAUGUAUUUCUGGUUGAGUCCCCAAUGGUUUUAAUAGAAUUGUAAGCGGCCCAUCCUGCUUUCCUGCUUCUGUUCAGCUCUGGCUUCAAUUCAUUCCUUGAUGUUUACAGCCUUCAAUACAUCAGCUCAAAUUGCAUAUUUUUCACAGAUUAAAUCCUGGGAUGUUGCUGGCCAACCAAUAUCAGAAUGUAAUCCAAAAGGUGUAGCAAGGCAACAAGAGGGCAAAAAUGAGGAAGAAUCCAGAGGCAGGGGGAGUGCUCGGUUGCCAGAGGUGCGGAGUAAUGCUAGCUCGGUCUUUUACCCGGCUGCACCCUGCCGUGCUUGUAUUGGUCAGCAUGGGGCUGACCGAUUUUAGAUCCAGGACCCAAUGCAUGGCAGCCAACCCUUUGUUACUGUUAUCAAUAAACAAGUUGUGGCCAGUUUUUUACCCAA